GUUGAAAUACCCGUUCUCGUACGAUCACCGAAGUUAAGCAACAUCUAGCCUGGUAAGUACCUAAGAUGGGUAACCGCUUCGGAAUACCAGUUGCUGUA
Acanthosepion pharaonis is the source of this 98-nucleotide non-coding RNA. The record is from the annotation of a GenBank genome assembly. NCBI's taxonomy places the organism in Eukaryota, Metazoa, Mollusca, Cephalopoda, Sepiida, Sepiidae.